RNAcentral lists this ribosomal RNA (253 nucleotides) under uncultured bacterium. RNAcentral describes it as "partial 16S ribosomal RNA". It matches the Rfam family "Bacterial small subunit ribosomal RNA", at positions 524 to 776 of the family's 1533-position model. The record is from RNAcentral.
UACAGAGGUCUCAAGCGUUGUUCGGAUUCAUUGGGCGUAAAGGGUGCGUAGGUGGCGGGGCAAGUCUGGUGUGAAAUCUCGGGGCUCAACCCCGAAACUGCACUGGAUACUGCCUUGCUCGAGUACUGGAGAGGAGAUUGGAAUUUACGGUGUAGCAGUGAAAUGCGUAGAUAUCGUAAGGAAGACCAGUGGCGAAGGCGAAUCUCUGGGCAGUUACUGACACUGAGGCACGAAGGCCAGGGGAGCAAACGGG